RNAcentral lists this long non-coding RNA (1016 nucleotides) under Gossypium raimondii (Peruvian cotton). RNAcentral's name for it is "long non-coding RNA (GRAI_LNC005414)". Lineage: Eukaryota; Viridiplantae; Streptophyta; Magnoliopsida; Malvales; Malvaceae. The record is from RNAcentral.
GCUUUUAAUAACUUACACUACAUAAGAUUGGUUGGUUUAGCUACUUGUCUUAGAUACUUUAAUGGAGUUGAAAACUUAGAGCAUGUUUUCCGUGAUUACUCCAUUGUAAAGGAAAUAUGGCAGAUGUUAAAUACCAUUUGGCCCCAAGCAGUAUCCGAGUUAGAAUACAAGGAUUGGUUGGCAUAUAUUUUCUUGAAUAAUUCCAUUUACCAGUGUAGGAUAGUGGCUUGUGUAAUUUAGACUACAUGGACAGGUAGGAUUAAAGCAGUUCAUGAAGGAGAUAGAUAGACACCUUUCGACACAACCCACUUUAUCAUUACAUAUGUGCAGGAGUUAGAUGGAAUCAACCAGAAAUUACAUAUUCAAAGGGUGGAGACUGAACGAUGGAGGUUGUCGGAAAGUCCUUAUGUGAAUAUUUAUUUUGAUGUUACUUUUCAAAAUCAUUCCAAGAGGUCAUGACGGUAAUUGUGAUUAAAAUUCAAAUGGUGUAGUGUUGGGUUCCAGAAUGAUAAUGAAUGACCACAUAUUUUUGGCAUUCGCUGCGGGGGCUCUUGCAUGCUUUCAUGCGGUUUAGAUGGACCUGGUAUUGGGAUUUUUUGAGGAGAUUGAGGGGGACACGCUUACUAUAGUGAAAAAGCUUCAUGCAAUCAGGGAAGACAGAUACGAAUCAGUGCGUACAUAAGGAGCUCAAUAUCGCUCGGUGAAAGUUAUCAAAGUUGUUUUUUCAGACAUGCACCGAAACAGGGGAACAGAGUAGCACAUCUAUUAGCUAUAGAGGGCAUAAAGAGAGGAGUAUCGACUUAUCUGACACAAGGGAUGCCUUUUUCCGCUGCUAUUGCGGUGGAAAAAGAUUGGUGGUGGAUGGAUCUGCCAGAUUAGGUUAUACCGCUCGCCGAUUAUCUACAAGCAGUCUCUGAAAUUUGUUCAUCUUCAAGGGAUAAUAGUGAUUCAUAUAGGCUUAUCUCUUUUUUUUUUUUUUCAGAUGGUUUGAAAGUAGGUUUCAUGUCAUUUGUUUU